UGCGGGGUCGUCUAAUGGUAGGACACAGGACUUUGGAUCCUGGUAUGAUGGUUCGAAUCCAUCCCCCGCAGCCA
RNAcentral lists this transfer RNA (74 nucleotides) under Candidatus Jorgensenbacteria bacterium CG_4_8_14_3_um_filter_38_10. Its description in RNAcentral is "tRNA-Gln". It matches the Rfam family "tRNA". From Rfam's summary of the family: Transfer RNA (tRNA) molecules are approximately 80 nucleotides in length. Their secondary structure includes four short double-helical elements and three loops (D, anti-codon, and T loops). RNAcentral also lists the same sequence under 2 other names. The record is from RNAcentral. Lineage: Bacteria; Candidatus Joergenseniibacteriota.